This 165-nucleotide ribosomal RNA is filed under the name Echinococcus multilocularis. RNAcentral's name for it is "partial small subunit ribosomal RNA". The record is from RNAcentral. Lineage: Eukaryota; Metazoa; Platyhelminthes; Cestoda; Cyclophyllidea; Taeniidae.
GUGAGUGAUUCUUGYUAGGGGAAGAUGCAUAGUAAAGGAUGGUCCACCUAUUAAUUUACUCUUUUUAUGUUGGUGUAUGUCUGGUUUGAUAUUAUUGUUUAGUAAUGUAAGUUUGUGUAGUUUUAGUAAGCUAAGUCUAUGUGCUGCUAUAAGAGUUUUKAUCCC